GGCUUUAGCGCGGUGGUCCCACCUGACCCCAUGCCGAACUCAGAAGUGAAACGCCGUAGCGCCGAUGGUAGUGUGGGGUCUCCCCAUGCGAGAGUAGGGAACU
This 103-nucleotide ribosomal RNA is filed under the name Pantoea agglomerans. The record is from RNAcentral. Lineage: Bacteria; Pseudomonadati; Pseudomonadota; Gammaproteobacteria; Enterobacterales; Erwiniaceae.